This 311-nucleotide ribosomal RNA is filed under the name uncultured eukaryote. RNAcentral describes it as "SSU rRNA". It matches the Rfam family "Eukaryotic small subunit ribosomal RNA", at positions 587 to 902 of the family's 1831-position model. The record is from RNAcentral.
AGCUCCAAUAGCGUAUAUUAAAGUUGUUGCGGUUAAAAAGCUCGUAGUUGGAUUUCUGUCGAGGACGGGCGGUCCGCACUAUGUGCGUGUAUCUGUUACGGCCUUGGCAUCCUCUUGGGGAACGGUUCUGUGCUUGAUUGCAUGGCCCGGUAUUCAAGACUUUUACUUUGAGGAAAUUAGAGUGUUCACGGCAAGCAUAAGCUUUGAAUACAUUAGCAUGGAAUAAUAAUAUAGGACCUGUUUUCUAUUUUGUUGGUUUCUAGGAGAUAGGUAAUGGUUAAUAGGGAUAAUUGGGGGCAUUCGUAUUAAGG